Molecule: transfer RNA, 74 nt
Filed under: Sphaerodactylus townsendi
Lineage: Eukaryota; Metazoa; Chordata; Lepidosauria; Squamata; Sphaerodactylidae
Description: tRNA-Ala
Rfam family: tRNA
About the family: Transfer RNA (tRNA) molecules are approximately 80 nucleotides in length. Their secondary structure includes four short double-helical elements and three loops (D, anti-codon, and T loops). Further hydrogen bonds mediate the characteristic L-shaped molecular structure. tRNAs have two regions of fundamental functional importance: the anti-codon, which is responsible for specific mRNA codon recognition, and the 3' end, to which the tRNAs corresponding amino acid is attached (by aminoacyl-tRNA synthetases). tRNAs cope with the degeneracy of the genetic code in two manners: having more than one tRNA (with a specific anti-codon) for a particular amino acid; and 'wobble' base-pairing, i.e. permitting non-standard base-pairing at the 3rd anti-codon position.
Source: RNAcentral
GAGGGACUGUGGCCUGGUGGUAGAGCAUCUGCUUGGCAUGUAGAAGGGCCCAGAUCCAAUACCUGGCAUCUUCA